CGGAAACUUAAAUACAAUGGGUAUGUUUCGACUCAAUAUUCUAAACGAGCAUAAAAAACCAAGGGGCUUUGCCACCUUAAAUUAUUUUGUUUAUUUUUCUUCCGAAGACCAGGGCCGAUGUAAAGUAUUUCUGGGAGCUGAGUUAGUUCUCAAGCACAAUAUUGCUUCAGGAGAGUUGAAAUUACUUCAAAACUACUGCAAAUGAUCUCAUCUUACAUUUGGAUUUACAUUUGAGGUAAUUCUUUGUCGUCCAACCCCUUUUGCAGGCCCUUCAAAUUAUUUUGUGUUCAAGGGGACCCUAGGUUAAAAAGUUAACGUAAACCCUAUACCUUGUUGCAUAUCACUCGAAAGCUCUUUUUCAGAGCUAUUAAAAAAUGUUACACUCAGUUUUCUGCUUGAAGUAAUAUUCAAAUUAAUGGCAGUUCUUUUCAAGCUCGCCGGACAUGCUAUUUUGAGAGCUUAUCCACUAUUAACACGAAAAUAAUUGCUUGAAGGUACAAUUCCUAAAAAUAUGAAAAACGUGUCUUCCAAAUUCAUGCCGACUAAAGAAUAGUUUACUGCUCUAGUCCAAACAUAAACAAAAUGGCGACUGAAUAACUGAAAUUGAAGGUGGUUCAGACCACCUUCUUCAACUUGAGAACACCGUACAUGGGACCAAAACCAUUCCUAAUUAACAGCUUCAAUGAACUUUUGGAAAAUUUACCUUUAAACAAAUAUUUUGGCGCUAACGGUGGAUAAUCUAUCAAAUUAGCAUGUCCGGUGAGGUUUAAAACAGCCGCCAUUUUAAUUUUACUUUGAGCAGAAAACUUAGUGUAACAUUUUUUUCAAAAAUGUUAUAUUUUUGAAUAGCUCUUGAAAAGAUCUUUUGAGUGAUAUGCAACAAGAUAUAGGGUCCAUUUAACUUUUUAACCUAUGGUCCCUUUGAACACAAAAUAUUUUGAGGGGCCACGAAAAGGGGUCGGACGGCCAAAAAUUACAUCAAGUGUGAAACAAAAUGUAAGAUGAGAUCAUUUACAGCAGUUUUGAAGUAAUUUCAACCCUCCUGAGGCAAUAUUGUGCUUGAGAAAGGGCUGCCAACUCAGCCCCCCAAAAUGCUUUAAAUCGGCCCUGGUCUUCGGAAGAAAAAUAAAUAAAACAAACCAAGGUGGCAAAGUUCCUUAUUUUUUUAUGCUUUUUUAGAAUAUCGAGUCAAAACAUACUCAUUAUAUUUAGGUUUCCAGAGAUCUGACACAUGGCCCCCUGUAUACCCCCCAAGGGGGGGCCCAGGGUCGAUGAAAAUAUUUUCCAGAAGUGCUUUGGGGCUGUUGAUGGGGAAUGGUGUUGGUCCCGUUGUUCUACGUUAAGCGGUUCUCGAGAUAAAGAUAGUGGCUGGGUGGUCUCGAACACCCUGUAUAUAUAUUUUAAAAAAUCUCCGAAGGACAGGGACAAUUUAAAGAAGUUUUGGCCGGCCGACCCCUUUUGGCGGCCCCUCA
RNAcentral lists this long non-coding RNA (1472 nucleotides) under Olea europaea subsp. europaea. Lineage: Eukaryota; Viridiplantae; Streptophyta; Magnoliopsida; Lamiales; Oleaceae. The record is from RNAcentral.